Molecule: long non-coding RNA, 1678 nt
Organism: Manis javanica (Malayan pangolin)
Lineage: Eukaryota; Metazoa; Chordata; Mammalia; Pholidota; Manidae
Source: RefSeq, a predicted model, not a curated record
UUUGUGUCCUGCAGUUGGGUUUGUGAGUCUGUCCUCGGGUGAAAGGGGCCACGUGGCCGGGAAGUCCCGCUCUUCCUAGAGACUUGCGUCAGCACGACCUCCCCCACUUCUCGUGCCCCACAUCCCCAUCCCACUGCAGAGAAGACGCCCCAGCAGCAACUUGUGUGAUCUUCUGUCCUCUCGUGAUCUACAUACAAAAUACUAUCGGUUGCCAGUUGUCCUACUCAGCUUGGACUGCACACAGAGCCCCGUGGACUGGGCAGCUGGGGCCACCGGAACCCAUUCCUUACAACUGCAGAGGCUGGGAAGACCAGGAUCAAGGAACGCGUAUCACUGGUGUUGGGGGUCAUUGACGCUGAUCUGGAGAUGCCAAGAGACUUGCUCACCAGGCUGUUGUGCCUAUUCUCCCACCGCCCCACCCCCACCUGGGGGGCCAUGGGCAGAGCUGCCCCCAGGACACCCUGCAUGGGCAGCACGGAGCUCCUGGAUCCUCCGAGAGGCCCAGAGUGAGCACCUGGCCCUGCGUGAGGUCCGUGAGCGUGGCGGAGCCCCCUGCGCUGUCAGGGGCACAGAGACCUGGUGCCCACGCGCUUCCUUUCAGCGGCCACAGUGCACCUGCUGGAGGCAUCUUGAGGGCUCUGCAGGGACACGGUCCUCGCUUCAGACAUGGUGAAUGAAGGCCAACGUUGCCCAGACGCUUGUUGUUGCCAGUGAGACUUUUCAAGCCACACACUGCCCACCUGUUCAGCCUCGCAGCCCUCGGCUUUCAGGUGGGCCUUUCUGGGCAAGAUGCAGGGUGACGGAGCCAGCAGACCAGGAAGCCGUGUGUCUCAGGAAGCCUUUCCCUGGAUGACUCACAGUCCCAACAGAGGCGAUCAUUAAUUAAUGUUCGUGACGAACGUCAGCUGGCUCUAAACGGAUGAGAGGAAAGGCAAUUCUCAUCCAUAAACAGGACUGCAGCCUGAAUCCCCAGGAGGAAGAUGUGUGCCCAGCUAGUGGUCUCCUAGGCCACACAGGAUGGGCAGACCACAGGAAGCGGCUCCUGUCAUGGCUGCUAGAGCACCGGGGAGGCCUCAGUCGGCGGCGAGCGUCUUCAAGGAGCCUGCACUUCACCUGAAGGACGGUGGGUGGCCAGGUCAGCGGUCAGUGGGGGGCAGACACGUGGGGUGGCCAGACGGGGCUCUAGCAGCCCUGCUCUGUUCUAACCCAGACUUCCCCACUGAGUCUGGGUUCACUCAGCCCCUCCAGCCCCUCCGGGUGGGGCUCCAGGAGGCACCUCAGGACACCCCCAGGGUCCCCAUGGGCAGGCUGCCCCUCUCCAGGUGACCUCGGCUGCCCUGAGUACUUCUGGUCCUGCUGCACCGGCUGGGCCUCCUGUCUGGCGUGUGGGCACAGAUGCAGGAGGCCAGCCUCCAUGCCAGCCCAGAGGCGUGUCAUCGUGUGGAGUGCUGUUGCAGCAGCGUCCCCUCUGUGCCGUUAGGAGGGGAGAGUGAGGUAGCUCCCUGGGGCAGGCCUGCGCCUUCCCCUCACUGAGUCCAGGGCAGGUCCAAGGCAGCUGGCCUGGCCUCUCUCCUCCUACUUGGCCCACCUGUACCUGCCCAAGGCGGGUGCCUCUGUGAGCCGGCCACACUUCUGACCUCCCAGGGCUGUCUCCCUGAGGACUAUCCCCCGCAGUGCU